RNAcentral lists this ribosomal RNA (737 nucleotides) under uncultured organism. RNAcentral's name for it is "bacterial SSU rRNA". It matches the Rfam family "Bacterial small subunit ribosomal RNA", at positions 28 to 812 of the family's 1533-position model. The record is from RNAcentral.
GAUGAACGCUGGCGGUCUGCUUAACACAUGCAAGUCGAACGGGCUCUUCGGAGCUAGUGGCGGACGGGUGAGUAACGCGUGAGAAUCUGCCUUCAGGAGGGGGAUAACGACUGGAAACGGUCGCUAAUACCCCAUAUGCCUACGGGUGAAAUGUUUUUCGCCUGAAGAUGAGCUCGCGUCCGAUUAGCUAGUUGGUGAGGUAAGAGCUUACCAAGGCAACGAUCGGCAGCUGGUCUGAGAGGAUGAUCAGCCACACUGGGACUGAGACACGGCCCAGACUCCUACGGGAGGCAGCAGUGGGGAAUUUUCCGCAAUGGGCGCAAGCCUGACGGAGCAAGACCGCGUGCGGGAUGACGGCCUAAUGGUUGUAAACCGCUUUUCUCUGGGAAGAAGAUGACGGUACCAGAGGAAUAAGCCUCGGCUAACUCCGUGCCAGCAGCCGCGGUAAUACGGAGGAGGCAAGCGUUAUCCGGAAUUAUUGGGCGUAAAGCGUCCGUAGGUGGUUCAUCAAGUCAGAUGUUAAAGAGCGGAGCUCAACUCCGUCGGAGCGGUUGAAACUGGUGAACUAGAGUUUGGUAAGGGUCGAGGGAAUUCACAGUGUAGCGGUGAAAUGCGUAGAUAUUGGGAAGAACACCGGUGGCGAAAGCGCUCGGCUGGGCCACAACUGACACUGAGGGACGAAAGCUAAGGGAGCGACAGGGAUUAGAUACCCCUGAUGUCCAUACCGUAAAAGAUGG